This 415-nucleotide ribosomal RNA is filed under the name uncultured bacterium. RNAcentral describes it as "partial 16S ribosomal RNA". It matches the Rfam family "Bacterial small subunit ribosomal RNA", at positions 360 to 774 of the family's 1533-position model. The record is from RNAcentral.
AAUAUUGCGCAAUGGAGGGAACUCUGACGCAGCGACGCCGCGUGAGCGAUGAAGGUUUACGGAUCGUAAAGCUCUGUCCUUGGGGAAGAAGGUGGCCAUUUUUGGCCACUUGACGGUACCCAAGGCGGAAGCCCCGGGUAACUACGUGCCAGCAGCCGCGGUAAUACGUAGGGGGCAAGGGUUGUCCGGAAUUAUUGGGCGUAAAGGGUGCGUAGGCGGCCUUUUAAGUCAGAUGUGAAAGACCACGGCUUAACCGUGGGGUUGCAUUUGAAACUGGAGGGCUUGAGUAUCGGAGAGGGUAGUGGAAUUCCCAGUGUAGCGGUGGAAUGCGUAGAUAUUGGGAGGAACACCAGUGGCGAAGGCGACUUUCUGGACUGUAACUGACGCUGAGGCACGAAAGCGUGGGUAGCGAACA